This 95-nucleotide ribosomal RNA is filed under the name Histoplasma capsulatum. RNAcentral describes it as "partial 18S rRNA". Lineage: Eukaryota; Fungi; Ascomycota; Eurotiomycetes; Onygenales; Ajellomycetaceae. The record is from RNAcentral.
GGGGUUUCGGCCCGGGGGCUGCGGCCGCCGGGUCUGAAAGUUAGCUACCUGGUUGAUUCUGCCAGAGUCAUAUGCUGUCUCAAAGAUAAGCCAUG